CAGCCCCACGCUCCAAACCUUAUCCCCUUUGGCCCCAUUGCUCCAGAUCCACCACGCACACCGCCGCCAUAGGUGCCCUCUCCGGCCGACGGCGGUGCUACGCGUCGCCACCACUUUGGGCCCCUCUUUCUCCCACCUCUCCAUCGCUAUCCCCACAUGGCUGCUGUUUUCCCACGUCGAGGCGGGCAUGUGCCGGCGCCGCCAUCACGCAGGUGCCAACGGAGGCGCUUUUUGUUCAUACCCAAGUGCCGGUGAUGCCACCUCUCACCUCUCUCUCUCUCUCAUGGCUCCACCGCCCCAACCCAGACCAGCUAGAUCUAAGUGGGACAAACCUUCGCUCCGGGUGGUCUGGUCUGAGGUAGCCAGCCUCUGCUUCCUCUGCUCUGGGUGAUUAGAAGCACGGGAGAACAGGAGCUAGCCAUCCAUGGCAUAAACAACAUCGUAAGCUCUCUCUCCCUCUCUGUGUGUGUGUGUGUGUGUGUGUGUGCGUCUGUGUGUGUGUGUGUGUGUGCGGAUUCCUACUCCAGCCGGUGGACCAGAUUUUUUUUACUUGGUUGUAAGUUUAAUCUCUUUAAAAAAAUGUGCUGCUUUGAUUCAUGGAAGCAGAACUCCUUCAAGUAGUAAAGUUCAAACCCUAACAUUCUAUCACUAUUAUUGUUUGCAUUCUAUUUUCUAAGUUUUUUAACAGAUUGAAUUUGAAAAUUAUUCUUUGCAGGGCAAAUUAAUCUUUGUAAGUAUGGUGGAUGGUUGGGCAAAAAGGCCACCGAAAGAUGUCCAUAGACAUAUGCCUGCAUUACAUCGACUUGAUGCUACUAUUUACUCUCUCAAGAACCUCUGUAGGUAUGUAUGUGAGAUAGCAAGCAAUGUUGGAUGCCCUCACUAUUUACUUCCUAUUGGCAUAUAGGACUAUGUGCUUGUCCAGUAAACACGUCUCUAUUUUCCUAUUAAUUCUUUGGUACAAAUGGAAUACAUGUAGCACUUUGUAAAUGUUUCCUUGUGAAAUAUCAUACUGUAACAUCAUGUUCUAUUUAGUCCCCAGAAGCAAUACUUGGUUUCAACUUUGAAAGACGAAAUGAAUUCCUCUAUGGGGCGUCUGAACAGAAGGGGCAUCUUCCUCGUCCUGUCACCAAGAUAAUUUCGGUCACUUAUCUGAACAAAAAGGGUUCUGGUCUCUUAAUGAAAUUGGGGGUCCAUUGAGGGCUUCAGUGACAACACCGGCGUGUUGUUGGGGAUGUAGUGUUGUGGUGCUUGCUGCUUGUGUGGUUGUGGUGUGCUAGCUGCUGUUAUGCUGUGCGUGCUUGCUGUGGUGUGCAGUGUGCUGCUAGCCACGGUUGUGCUGUUUGAUGUGCUAGUGCUACUGUCGUAUUGCUGCUGAAUGUUGAUAUUCUACUGCCUAUUGAUUGGUGAUUAAUCCAGUUUCUUCCCUGGAAAUGAAGCAUUAGACGUUAUACAUGGUAAUAUGUUGUCCCAUGAAGGCUGAAACUCUGUUACGAAUUGUAAUUCUGUUAAACCUCAUAGGCAAUGAACUGUGCAUUCUCUCAGACAAACUGUAGAUGAAGAGAAUAACAGAAAUAUUUUGUAUGCCAUCAACAGGUAAGAAGUGGCAUCGAGCUAAACAGACAUAAUAAAAGGAGAAUAUAGACCAGCAUUGAUUGUUACUAGUCAAUGCACAGAGCUAGAUAUAGAUGUUCUUCUUCUGGCUGUUGCUUAUUAAUUGUUUGGCACUCAUCUCCCCCCAACUAACUUUCAGUGAUCUGCACUCAUGUCGGUAUGGCUCUAAUUUAUCUCUAAACAUGGUUCACUCUUACUGUUACAGGCAAAUGUUAGUAAACAAAAUAGUGUGUUCCUUUCAGAAGAGUACAGAAGAAUUUGCGUUCCUGUAAAGAAAUAAGGCGGACCAUCUAAUAAAACAUUGUUUCAGAAUAUGUGGUUUGGGAAUGAUUGUUCGGUUUUUUCUUACGAGAGCUGGAUAACAAGAUAAAAGUUCCUUACAUGAUGGAACGUUGAUGGAGAGUCAAUGGUAAGAUGGUCUGCCUAGUGUUUUCCUAUCAAAGAAGCAAUGCUAACUUUGAUUUGCUCAGUUUAACAAGGUGACCUGAUUUUUUUUAAAUAGUCUCAUAUUUGAAUGCGAUGAUACGAUGACUUCUUCUGCAUUACACCAUGUUGUAUUUAUAAAAAAUAUGCUUAGCGUGUCAUACAUACAAUCAGGUUGGACUCAUAUUUGAUAUUGAAUUUAUGUGUUCCAUCCUCAAUUUACGGGGCUGCUCCGAUUUCACUUCUCGAUAAAAACAAUAAGACUAAUAGGUAGGAACAUAUCCACCUUCGUAUGGUUCUGAAAAUUAUUACAGAAUUACUCAAGCACUCCAACAACCAAAAACUUAGCAACAAACUCUAACCAUACACUCAAGUGCUUAGACACAAGAAUCAGAAAAAACACUUAAAAUGACAUAUGAUGUGGUCAGCCGAUUGGUGUGCCUUUUAGGUAUCAUGACUAUUCUCCUUUAUUCCCAUAUUAUUGUUGUCUUGAUUUGCCCGCAACUGUUAUCUUGGCUAUCAUUUUGUCAACCACUUAUAUUAGCUAGGUUUGUUGGUCCGUAGUCUUCCAUAUAGCUAUUUCAACUAAAUCUGUAGUCUUUCAUAUAUAUAGGAAUUGUCUUCUACUAUUCAGGUCUCGCAUAUAUUCCUUGUGGUGUAUUAACUUUGUAUGAUAAAAUAAAAUGUCUGUUGAAAAUAACUAAUAUAUGAUCACUCUGGACUUUCUUCUCCGCAAAAAACAAUUUGUAGUGCAGUCGGCAACUCGGCAUCUAACUGUUGGUAUAUUAUUGUGUUGCUUCUUUUCCCCUCAACUUUUACAUUUUACCAUGCUAUUCGCUGCUACCUGUUCUUCAUCAUCUGAGUUCUUACUCCUUCCAUUUAUGUAGGAAUGUCUGAAGAGAGUUAUCCCCUAUGGGCACAUGGACAUUGCAUAAUCAGUCUUGUCAUGGGAAUAAUUUGCCUGCCUAAAGAAGGCGAAGCAAUCAGCCAAGCAAUUAAACUGGAGUCCAGUAAAGAGAAAUCUUCCAGUGACAAUCAAGAGUUGAAUCGUAGCAUUCCAAAGGAGACAAGUCAUCCAACCAUCCAGCAGAAGUGUAGACAGUUUAAAGAAACCAUCACUUGAUCCGGGCAAUAAUAGCGCAUCAGUUUCAUCUAGUUCUAUACAUAAGAAGGUAACACACUUGUAUGUUCCACUGGACAUCUAUUUUUACAUGUCUGGCUGAAUCACUANN
This 3266-nucleotide long non-coding RNA is filed under the name Triticum aestivum (bread wheat). RNAcentral's name for it is "long non-coding RNA (TAES_LNC018948)". The record is from RNAcentral. Lineage: Eukaryota; Viridiplantae; Streptophyta; Magnoliopsida; Poales; Poaceae.